UGAAACAUCUCAGUACCCACAGGAAGAGAAAACAACAGUGAUUCCGGUAGUAGUGGCGAGCGAAACCGGAACAGGCCAAACCGAUCAUGUGUGAUAGCCGGCAGGCGUUGCAUGGUCGGGGUUGUGGGACUCUUGCGGUUUUCUGCCGAAAACCACGUAGAUAGUUGUUGUAUAGACAAAUGGUCUUGAAAGGCCAGCCGCAGAGGGUGCCAGCCCCGUAGUUGAAAUGCAGCACUAAUGCGAAGAGGAUCCCAAGUAUCACGGGGCCCGAGAAAUCCCGUGUGAAUCUGCCAGGACCACCUGGUAAGCCUAAAUACUCCCAGAUGACCGAUAGCGGACAAGUACCGUGAGGGAAAGGUGAAAAGUACCCCGGGAGGGGAGUGAAAUAGUACCUGAAACCGUGUGCUUACAAUCCGUCAGAGGCUUUCGGGCUGAUGGCGUGCCUUUUGAAGAAUG
Molecule: ribosomal RNA, 456 nt
Filed under: Pseudopedinella elastica
Lineage: Eukaryota; Dictyochophyceae; Pedinellales
Description: partial Bacterial large subunit ribosomal RNA
Rfam family: Bacterial large subunit ribosomal RNA
Source: RNAcentral